UAAGAUGUAUGUGUUAUCUGUUGGCCUGUCAUUGUGACAGAACGUUCAUUACCCCACUGUCUACCUCCACUCCCCAAGAGCGAAUUCUGCACCUUGCUCUGGCAGUGUGCCUGGCAAUCCGCGCGCAGUGUGCACCAUACCAGUACAUUAAUGACAGCUGCUGGUCAAAAAGCAUUGGGAGCCGUCACGUGUCUCCACCUCUCUCUUCCUCAUCUCCAACUUCACUGGACCACUUAUGAGGCAGGUCCAUUAUGAAGCAGGUGACCCCUGACCUCUGAUGUGCCAUGCAAAUGCGGAGAACAUUUGCGGCGACACGUUAGUUACAGAACCGCAGUCUCCGUGAGCGCCACGAAGCUGAGCAGGAAGCAACAAGAUAAACAUGUGGCAAUUUUAAUAUAAACCAUAAAUUGAUAUACGACACGCUGGUGGACAAGUUGAGACUUGGGAAGAGAGGCAGAACUUUUGCUAAUGAGUCCCUUGAGACGUGGGACUCAGGACAAUGUUCACACGUUCCUCUUUUUUUUCCUGUAUUUUUUUCUGUACUGUAAUAAAUGAUUUCUUUUAAGGACAAGGAUAUUUUUUAAUGACCAGUGAUCGUCAGUGUUGGUUAUCAACACGACAGUCUGAAAUCAGCUGGGAGGUGUCUCAGUGAGGGAGUACGUAGAAGAGGAUGGUCUGUGGGCUCUUCUGGGUACUGUUCGAUGACACUGAAUGACAUGAGGAGAUAGACCCAGGCCACUGUGGCUGGUAUCAUCUCUUAGGGGUGGGUCCAAGAUGAUGAGCUGGACAGUCAGCGGGCACACCUUCCUUCCAUCUCCUGACUGUGGAUGUCACGUGACUUGUUGCUCUGAAGCAUCCGCCACCCUGAACUCCCUGGUAUGACGGACUAUAUCCCGGACCUGUGAGCCAGAAGAAACGCUCUGUCCCCUCAGCUGCUGUUUGCUGGGGUAUUUUUACCACAGGAGCGAAACUGGGGCAGUGACGAAAGGACAAGAGGGAGCAACCAACUGGUCUAGGCAGAAGACAUUUUCCUUCUCAGGAAAGCAGAUAUCUAUCCACUCUUAAGACUUGUGAGUGUAAAGCCAGGACUAGCCAAGGCUCGCCUGCAUAAGAAACCUCAGUGUGUUAUUCACAGCUGUGAUGUUGGCACAAGGUCCAGUGUUUAAAGGUAGAGCAUCUAGAAAUAAUUCACGACGGAGCUGAGACCGUGGAAAAGUCAAACUGAGGUGAGCUUUCCAAAAACUGGCAUUGAGAGCCUGUUCAUCCCUGUGGAAAGAAACCUGCAACCAGGCUCCACCUCCCCUCUUGACUCAGAGGUAGUGAUGCAUGGAUUAAAAACAGUACUAUGGAAGGUAAGAUGUCAGAAGGCCAUGUAUAGAAUGAAGAGAUAAAAAUAUUUUAAGGUAAUACUCAGUAUCUAUAAGUUGUAAUACUUAUGGUAGGUCAGCUCCUAUACUAAGCACUUUACGUGUAUUGCCACACUGAGUUUCAUAAGCAGCCCUGUGACAGAAGUACAGACCAUCCCCAGCACAUCGAGGACACCGAGGCAGUGCAGGCCAGGCGCUUGCUUGGUCAUUCAGUGCUAAGCUGGGAUCUCAACCCAUUCAAAAGAUUGAGCGGGCAUUUCAGCAGAGGAAAUGCCGCCCGUCCGUGAGCAUACAUGGUAGCUGCUUUCAUCGGGAAUCCAUGAAAUGCAUAUUAGAACUACAACCGUGUUCCGACUGUGGAUGCGGGAGACAGUGCGGGUGGAUAGAAUGUAUGCUGCACACGUGUGAGGACCCAAGCGCGAAAGCGCAGUACCCACAUAGAUGCAGGCUCCUGUGGUGGCCACCUGUAACCCCAGCACUAGGGAAGGCAGGGACAGAGAACUCUGGUAAGAAGCUGACUGCUCAAAUCAGGGAACCCAAGGUUCAGUGAGAGACUACACCUCAAAUAAAGCCAGAGUGCUGGAGGAAGAAACCCAGCAUCCACUUCAGGCCUCCAUAUACACAAGCAAGCAUACAUAAGUUAUUUACCUUCCAAUUGCACACAUACCUAGCAGGCAACAGGCAGCUUCCCGGUGUAAGAUAAUGGUUAGAACAUGGUCUCCGCUGUGCUACUCAACAGAGUAAUUCAGGAUUUCAGUAGUGCUAAGCUGAUACCUUCAUCUUCAUAACAGCCAAUUCAUGACGUCUUGGUCUUAAGUUUUG
RNAcentral lists this long non-coding RNA (2189 nucleotides) under Mus musculus (house mouse). RNAcentral describes it as "long non-coding RNA chr19:58091813-58094002". Lineage: Eukaryota; Metazoa; Chordata; Mammalia; Rodentia; Muridae. The record is from RNAcentral.